AACAAUAGCAACAACAAUGACAACAGUCAGUGACCAACAGACAGACCGCACGUUUGGCUACCUCGACUCACACAUUGUGCCACUCUGUUCGUUACUGUCGUUAUUGCUUUAUUUGCAAUUACAACUUCCACUAUCAUUCGCAACUCUUCAUUUCGGAACAUUUAGUUCGACAGAGCGCUUCACACUUCAUCACUCACAUCACCCACUAAAACGUAUGCACGAAGUGUCUUGGCUACUUGCUUAACUUUUCUCUAAUUUGCGCUGCUCGCAGUCGUUUUGACCUAUUGGUGGAUACUUUUAGGAUGUGAGAUCUUGACCAAUAGCAGCGAUUAUUAUCAAAAAUACUUUGCUCUUUACGCUUGGACUUGGUCUACAAUAUUCAAGUUUCAUGCUUCUUCUUGUGUGAUCUCAAUCGCAUGCAGCAUGGCAUAUAAACACCGAAAACUAUUCGUAUCGAAAGCACACGUUCUGUUAUUAUUACCACCUGAUUACGAUGUGUCUACGAGUGCAUAACGAACUACAUAAAUACACACAUGCAAAGUGUACGACUUCGUAAGUACUAUAUGUAUUGACCCAGUGAGGAAAAUAACAGGUGACACUUUGGUGCCCUUUUUGAUGACAUUCAUAACCAGCUGAUGAUUUGGUCUGGACCUGAACUCAAAUUGAGGUGCUAUAAACAAGAUCUUAUACAAGUAUAUUUAUUCUUUAUUGGUAUUUAAACAUAAUGAUUAUUACUACUUCUCUUGUUUUUUGGAAUUUUGUCGUACUUAUUCUUCGUGCUAUGCCGAAAGUGGAUGGAUCUGCAUCAUUAAGUCUCAUUAAAUCGGCUAAUGGAUUUUAGAUCAGCAAAACCCUCUGAAGUUUAUCUUACCUACCGAAGCACAUGUAUGUACAUUUGGUCAUAUUUCGUUCCACUGAGUGCUAAGCACAUACUAAGCCUACGAACGGUAUUCACAAAUACUCUUUAGUGACAAAUUUGGUAUUUCUAGACUAAUUCUAAAUAAUUUACUCGUAAACGUUUCCAUCAUCCCAAAAUUUCCUACAAGGUAAUCAUAGGUACGAGCUGAACGAACGCACAUUGCGCAAACAAAUUACAACUGCUACGUAUGCGUGUGUUUGUAUACAUGAAUGCGGGUACGUAAGUGUGUCCAAUUGAAUGCCGAUUCGUAUAGUUAAGAAUUUCGAAACGACCUAUGACAAUAUUUAGUUGCCUAAUCACAAAAUAGAGUUA
Molecule: long non-coding RNA, 1231 nt
Organism: Bactrocera dorsalis (oriental fruit fly)
Lineage: Eukaryota; Metazoa; Arthropoda; Insecta; Diptera; Tephritidae
Exons: 3
Source: RefSeq, a predicted model, not a curated record